Molecule: ribosomal RNA, 634 nt
Filed under: uncultured bacterium
Lineage: Bacteria
Description: bacterial SSU rRNA
Rfam family: Bacterial small subunit ribosomal RNA
Source: RNAcentral
GGGAGUACGGUCCCAAGAUUAAAACUCAAAGGAAUUGANCGGGGGCCCGCACCAAGCCGGUGGAGCAUGUGGUUCAAUUCGAAGCAACGCGCAGAACCUNACCAGCCCUUGACAUNCCCGGUCGCGGAGAGCGGAGAGACACUCCUUCAGUUCGGGCUGGACCGGAGANCAGGUGCUGCCAUGGCUGUCGUCAGCUCGUGUCGUGAGAUGNUGGGUUAAGUCCCGCAACGAGCGCAACCNUCGCCCUUAGUUGCCAUCAUUUAGUUGGGCACUCUAAGGGGACUGCCGGUGAUAAGCCGGAGGAAGGUGGGGAUGACGUCAAGUCCUCAUGGCCCUUACGGGCUGGGCUACACACGUGCUACAAUGGCGGUGACAGAGGGAUGCAAAGGGGCAACCCUUCGCAAAUCUCAAAAAGCCGUCUCAGUUCGGAUUGGGGUCUGCAACUCGACCCCAUGAAGUUGGAAUCGCUAGUAAUCGCAGAUCAGCACGCUGCGGUGAAUACGUUCCCGGGCCUUGUACACACCGCCCGUCACANCCAUGGGAGUUGGCUUUACCUGAAGACGGUGCGCUAACCGCAAGGAAGCAGCCGGCCACGGUAGGGUCAGCGACUGGGGUGAAGUCGUAACAAGGUACC